UUUCUAUUCAAGUGUAGGGAUCAUAAUUAAGCCAUGGGUGUCUCCACCUUCACACAAGAAUACACUUCCCCAGUUGCCCCAUCACGUAUGUUUAAGGCCUUAAUCCUCGACUCAAACAUUUUGAUUCCAAAGCUCUUACCCCAAUUCAUCAAAAGCGUGGAUGUAAUCCAAGGUAGUGAAGGGACUGGGACCAUUGAACAAGUCAACUUCACUGAAGCAAGCGACUUGAAAUAUGUGAAGAAUCGGAUUGAAGAGCUAGAUAAAGACAAUCUUGUGUGCAAGUAUACUCUGAUUGAGGGAGAUCCUCUGGGGGACAAGCUUGAUUCUAUUGCUUAUGAGGUCAAGUUUGAGGCAGCAAGUGAUGG
Molecule: unclassified non-coding RNA, 365 nt
Filed under: Hevea brasiliensis (rubber tree)
Lineage: Eukaryota; Viridiplantae; Streptophyta; Magnoliopsida; Malpighiales; Euphorbiaceae
Source: RNAcentral